UGGGGAAUAUUGCACAAUGGAGGAAACUCUGAUGCAGCGACGCCGCGUGAGUGAAGAAGUAAUUCGUUAUGUAAAGCUCUAUCAGCAGGGAAGAUAGUGACGGUACCUGACUAAGAAGCUCCGGCUAAAUACGUGCCAGCAGCCGCGGUAAUACGUAUGGAGCAAGCGUUAUCCGGAUUUACUGGGUGUAAAGGGAGUGUAGGUGGCAUCACAAGUCAGAAGUGAAAGCCCGGGGCUCAACCCCGGGACUGCUUUUGAAACUGUGGAGCUAGAGUGCAGGAGGGGCAAGUGGAAUUCCUAGUGUAGCGGUGAAAUGCGUAGAUAUUAGGAGGAACACCAGUGACGAAGGCGGCUCACGGGAGCGCAACUGACGCUGAAGCUCGAAAGUGCGGGUAUCGAACAGGAUUAGAUACCCUGGUAGU
This 422-nucleotide ribosomal RNA is filed under the name uncultured Lachnospiraceae bacterium. RNAcentral describes it as "bacterial SSU rRNA". It matches the Rfam family "Bacterial small subunit ribosomal RNA", at positions 355 to 794 of the family's 1533-position model. Lineage: Bacteria; Bacillati; Bacillota; Clostridia; Lachnospirales; Lachnospiraceae. The record is from RNAcentral.